Molecule: long non-coding RNA, 695 nt
Organism: Amphiprion ocellaris (clown anemonefish)
Lineage: Eukaryota; Metazoa; Chordata; Actinopteri; Pomacentridae
Source: Ensembl
CACGUGUCCUUAACCAUAACAACGAUGGCGGGUGUGUUGAGACUGCACGAGAAUGACUUUAUUUUGGUCUGUAACGAGCUUGCUCUCUUUUCUAAAACUUAUCUCUGGGCGGUGAACAGAAGACCGCGCGCUCCCGUUAAGCCUUUCGUGCCCCGGAAAGGGGAGAGCAGAAAAGUCGUGGGACUGACAUCACUAAAAUACUUCUGACACUUUCAGGGAAGCCAUACUUGAAGUCUGAAUGAGACGUUACAAAAGAGAAACAGCAGGCAGUAUAAACCCAGGUGGACAACUUUGAGGACGUUUGGCAGCACAAUAUGAAGAUUGCUGUUGUUCGUGCUUCCUACGCUGAAGAUCCUGUAGAUGUCUCUCUUAUUCUUGACGGCAAGGAGGUUGUGACUGGAUGUGGAAAUACUGCAAAGUUCCAACUCCUGAGAUUACCAUGACCUGGGUGAGUGAGGAUCUACAGAGAGCACAACUGACUUCAUGGAGGCUCACACAGAUAUCAAAACCUAAACAGGAAGUGAAAUUGAGUUUGUUGCUUCCAGAUAAGACAACAAAUGAAGUGGAAACAGCUGAUCAGUCACGUGACACAGAACUCAACAAGCACUGGCCACAGCUGCAGACACAUCGCUUUCUGGAGACUCUGCUUUACCUCCAUCUCCUGGAGAAUCACCGUUAUUUGGUGGAAAUAGGAU